AGGUUGAACGCUGGCGGCAUGCCUAACACAUGCAAGUCGAACGGGAGUAGCAAUACUCUAGUGGCGGACGGGUGAGGAAUACGUAGGAAUUUGCCCUUAAGUGGGGGAUAACCCGGGGAAACCCGGAUUAAUACCGCAUGACCUCGAAAGAGCAAAGUGGGGGAUCGCAAGACCUCACGCUUUUGGAGAAGCCUACGUCGGAUUAGCUAGUUGGUGAGGUAAUGGCUCACCAAGGCGACGAUCCGUAACUGGUCUGAGAGGAUGAUCAGUCACACCGGAACUGAGACACGGUCCGGACUCCGUACGGGAGCAGCAGUGGGAAUAGUUGGACAAGUCGGG
This 339-nucleotide ribosomal RNA is filed under the name uncultured soil bacterium. Its description in RNAcentral is "bacterial SSU rRNA". It matches the Rfam family "Bacterial small subunit ribosomal RNA", at positions 26 to 377 of the family's 1533-position model. The record is from RNAcentral.